This is a long non-coding RNA of Oncorhynchus tshawytscha (Chinook salmon), 441 nucleotides long. The record is from Ensembl. Lineage: Eukaryota; Metazoa; Chordata; Actinopteri; Salmoniformes; Salmonidae.
GAGACAGAGAUGGAUUUCACCAGCUUACUUUGCCUCUGUGGAAAUGAGUUGCACCUUCCAGUCCAGGGUGAAAAACAAGUGUUUGAGAGAGCAGAAGAAGUGAUGAAACAGAGUCUAGAGAAGUUUCAUCUCUGUCUACACUGGGAUCAGAGAACUGUUCUCAGUGAAGCUCUCAGCAAGACCAUUUUAAAUUGUCUACCUAAUAUCAACAAACUCAGGUUUACCCCUCUACUACAUCAGAGAGGAUCCCCUGAAAGACUGGAGACAGACGACAAAGCAGUCCUACUAGAUUUGUGUCUACAAGCAGCACUAGAUCACAGAGAAACAAUCCAGAGAACUGUGAACACACUGCUGUCACUGUUCUCUGUGUAUCAAACUGAGAGAUAUGACAUCCUGCUGGAUCUGUACUCACAUGUGAAGGACUAUGAGACUCAAACAGGC